Long non-coding RNA from Panicum virgatum (switchgrass), 614 nucleotides. RefSeq lists it as uncharacterized. Lineage: Eukaryota; Viridiplantae; Streptophyta; Magnoliopsida; Poales; Poaceae. The transcript is spliced from 2 exons. The record is from RefSeq and is a predicted model, not a curated record.
GCCAGAUAGAGGUUUUGCAGAUGCCAUGCCUUUAUAAGAAUCUAUCAAUUUCAACAGACCGCGCCACCAGAAUGAUCCUUUUUUUUUGUUGCUUUAUAGUAGUUCUCCCAUACCAGGUUGACCCAAAGUAAAUUCUCUUUGUUGAAGAAUUUAUGCAGGCUUUUGAGGAGGAGUGCAUCAUUGUGAGCUCUAAGGUCCAAAACUCCAAGACCCCCCUCCUCUUUGGGUAGAAAAACCAAUUUCCAUGCUGCCUUAGCAGAUUUCUUUGUGGAAGGGGCGCUGGUACUACAUCUCUCCCUGCCCUUGCUGCCUGCAGGUACAUACGCCGGCUAAAACUUAGUUUCAGGAUUAGUUUUCUGUUCCAAACAAAACAAAAAGUUUGGAUUCUACCCUCGCCUCAUGGAAGCUUUCCUGCUGCAUAGUAAAUGCAUGUACCUUUGAGGCAGUCCAGGACCCUGGUGAUCUUGGCUCGGCAGCGGCAGCAUUGCAGGUCCACCGAGAUAACCAAGAUUGUCAUCUGCAAAUUAAACAAACAUGUAUAGGGAAACAAUCUUGACUACGCUGUGAGAACAUGUACGUGCAAAUAUGAAUUUCUUAUCAAUCAUGCAUGGCCA